AUUCGGUACAGGAUGGGCCCGCAUCUGAUUAGCUAGUUGGUGAGAUAACAGCCCACCAAGGCGACGAUCAGUAGCCGACCUGAGAGGGUGAUCGGCCACAUUGGGACUGAGACACGGCCCAAACUCCUACGGGAGGCAGCAGUGGGGAAUAUUGCACAAUGGGGGAAACCCUGAUGCAGCAACGCCGCGUGAAGGAAGAAGGUUUUCGGAUCGUAAACUUCUAUCAAUAGGGAAGAAAUCAAUGACGGUACCUAAAUAAGAAGCCCCGGCUAACUACGUGCCAGCAGCCGCGGUAAUACGUAGGGGGCAAGCGUUAUCCGGAAUUACUGGGUGUAAAGGGAGCGUAGGCGGCAUGGUAAGCCAGAUGUGAAAGCCUUGGGCUUAACCCGAGGAUUGCAUUUGGAACUAUCAAGCUAGAGUACAGGAGAGGAAAGCGGAAUUCCUAGUGUAGCGGUGAAAUGCGUAGAUAUUAGGAAGAACACCAGUGGCGAAGGCGGCUUUCUGGACUGAAACUGACGCUGAGGCUCGAAAGCGUGGGGAGCGAACAGGAUUAGAUACCCUGGUAGUCCACGCCGUAAACGAUGAGUGCUAGGUGUUGGGGAGGAAUCCUCGGUGCCGCAGUUAACACAAUAAGCACUCCACCUGGGGAGUACGACCGCAAGGUUGAAACUCAAAGGAAUUGACGGGGGCCCGCACAAGCGGUG
This 704-nucleotide ribosomal RNA is filed under the name Anaerotignum lactatifermentans. RNAcentral's name for it is "bacterial SSU rRNA". It matches the Rfam family "Bacterial small subunit ribosomal RNA", at positions 213 to 934 of the family's 1533-position model. Lineage: Bacteria; Bacillati; Bacillota; Clostridia; Lachnospirales; Anaerotignaceae. The record is from RNAcentral.